Molecule: ribosomal RNA, 253 nt
Filed under: uncultured bacterium
Lineage: Bacteria
Description: partial 16S ribosomal RNA
Rfam family: Bacterial small subunit ribosomal RNA
Source: RNAcentral
UACGGGGGGGGCAAGCGUUGUUCGGAAUUACUGGGCGUAAAGGGUUCGUAGGUGGCCUACUAAGUCAUACGUGAAAUCCCUCAGCUUAACUGGGGAACUGCGUCUGAGACUGGAAGGCUUGAGUGCAGGAGAGGAACGCGGAAUUCCAGGUGUAGCGGUGAAAUGCGCAGAUAUCAGGAAGAACACCAAUGGCGAAAGCAGCUUUCUGGGACGGUACUGACGCUGAGACGCGAAAGCGUGGGGAGCGAACAGG